CAGUAACGCGUAGUCAACCUACCCUAUGGACGAGAAUAACCUCGGGAAACUGAGAAUAAUGCUCGAUAGAACAUUAUACCUGGAACGGUUUAUGUUUCAAAUGAUUUAUCGCCGUAGGAUGGGACUGCGGCCUAUCAGUUUGUUGGUGAGGUAAUGGCCCACCAAGACUAUUACAGGUACGGGCUCUGAGAGGAGUAGCCCGGAGAUGGGUACUGAGACACGGACCCAGGCCCUAUGGGGCGCAGCAGGCGAGAAAACUUUGCAAUGUGCGAAAGCACGACAAGGUUAAUCCGAGUGGUUUCUGCUAAAGGAACCUUUUGUCAGUCCUAGAAACACUGAUGAAUAAGGGGUGGGCAAGUUCUGGUGUCAGCCGCCGCGGUAAAACCAGCACCUCAAGUGGUCAGGAUGAUUAUUGGGCCUAAAGCAUCCGUAGCCGGCUCUGUAAGUUUUCGGUUAAAUCUGUACGCUCAACGUACAGGCUGCCGGGAAUACUGCAGAGCUAGGGAGUGGGAGAGGUAGACGGUACUCGGUAGGAAGGGGUAAAAUCCUUUGAUCUAUUGAUGACCACCUGUGGCGAAGGCGGUCUACCAGAACACGUCCGACGGUGAGGGAUGAAAGCUGGGGGAGCAAACCGGAUUAGAUACCCGGGUAGUCCCAGCUGUAAACUAUGCAAACUCAGUGAUGCAUUGGCUUGUGGCCAAUGCAGUGCUGCAGGGAAGCCGCUAAGUUUGCCGCCUGGGAAGUACGUACGCAAGUAUGAAACUU
Molecule: ribosomal RNA, 765 nt
Filed under: uncultured archaeon
Lineage: Archaea
Description: bacterial SSU rRNA
Rfam family: Archaeal small subunit ribosomal RNA
Source: RNAcentral